AUAUGACCAGGUCUUCAACUGAAAUCAGAAGAUUUGAGAAACAUUAUUUGUUUGAAUGAACAAGCCUGCUCCCUAUAAUUUUAUAUCACAUAAUUGCACGCUCUGUACUGCAUAUGAGUGCAGCUGGUAGUGCUUUAAUCCCUCCGUUUAUACUCUGUUAUGUUCCUGUGCUGUAAAACGAAUGCCCCAACAACCCCACCCCGUCCUCCAGCAGCUUGGCACCAUUGUAAAUGAGGGUCCCAGCCUGUCACCAACAAAGUAAAAAAAAAA
Molecule: long non-coding RNA, 270 nt
Organism: Anguilla anguilla (European eel)
Lineage: Eukaryota; Metazoa; Chordata; Actinopteri; Anguilliformes; Anguillidae
Exons: 3
Source: RefSeq, a predicted model, not a curated record